GGGUUGUGAGGUUAAGCGACUAAGCGUACACGGUGGAUGCCCUGGCAGUCAGAGGCGAUGAAGGACGUGCUAAUCUGCGAUAAGCGUCGGUAAGGUGAUAUGAACCGUUAUAACCGGCGAUUUCCGAAUGGGGAAACCCAGUGUGUUUCGACACACUAUCAUUAACUGAAUCCAUAGGUUAAUGAGGCGAACCGGGGGAACUGAAACAUCUAAGUACCCCGAGGAAAAGAAAUCAACCGAGAUUCCCCCAGUAGCGGCGAGCGAACGGGGAGCAGCCCAGAGUCUGAAUCAGUGUGUGUGUUAGUGGAAGCGUCUGGAAAGGCGCGCGAUACAGGGUGACAGCCCCGUACACAAAAAUGCACAUAUUGUGAGCUCGAUGAGUAGGGCGGGACACGUGGUAUCCUGUCUGAAUAUGGGGGGACCAUCCUCCAAGGCUAAAUACUCCUGACUGACCGAUAGUGAACCAGUACCGUGAGGGAAAGGCGAAAAGAACCCCGGCGAGGGGAGUGAAAAAGAACCUGAAACCGUGUACGUACAAGCAGUGGGAGCACGCUUAGGCGUGUGACUGCGUACCUUUUGUAUAAUGGGUCAGCGACUUAUAUUCUGUAGCAAGGUUAACCGAAUAGGGGAGCCGAAGGGAAACCGAGUCUUAACUGGGCGUUAAGUUGCAGGGUAUAGACCCGAAACCCGGUGAUCUAGCCAUGGGCAGGUUGAAGGUUGGGUAACACUAACUGGAGGACCGAACCGACUAAUGUUGAAAAAUUAGCGGAUGACUUGUGGCUGGGGGUGAAAGGCCAAUCAAACCGGGAGAUAGCUGGUUCUCCCCGAAAGCUAUUUAGGUAGCGCCUCGUGAACUCAUCUCCGGGGGUAGAGCACUGUUUCGGCAAGGGGGUCAUCCCGACUUACCAACCCGAUGCAAACUGCGAAUACCGGAGAAUGUUAUCACGGGAGACACACGGCGGGUGCUAACGUCCGUCGUGAAGAGGGAAACAACCCAGACCGCCAGCUAAGGUCCCAAAGUCAUGGUUAAGUGGGAAACGAUGUGGGAAGGCCCAGACAGCCAGGAUGUUGGCUUAGAAGCAGCCAUCAUUUAAAGAAAGCGUAAUAGCUCACUGGUCGAGUCGGCCUGCGCGGAAGAUGUAACGGGGCUAAACCAUGCACCGAAGCUGCGGCAGCGACGCUUAUGCGUUGUUGGGUAGGGGAGCGUUCUGUAAGCCUGUGAAGGUGUGCUGUGAGGCAUGCUGGAGGUAUCAGAAGUGCGAAUGCUGACAUAAGUAACGAUAAAGCGGGUGAAAAGCCCGCUCGCCGGAAGACCAAGGGUUCCUGUCCAACGUUAAUCGGGGCAGGGUGAGUCGACCCCUAAGGCGAGGCCGAAAGGCGUAGUCGAUGGGAAACAGGUUAAUAUUCCUGUACUUGGUGUUACUGCGAAGGGGGGACGGAGAAGGCUAUGUUGGCCGGGCGACGGUUGUCCCGGUUUAAGCGUGUAGGCUGGUUUUCCAGGCAAAUCCGGAAAAUCAAGGCUGAGGCGUGAUGACGAGGCACUACGGUGCUGAAGCAACAAAUGCCCUGCUUCCAGGAAAAGCCUCUAAGCAUCAGGUAACAUCAAAUCGUACCCCAAACCGACACAGGUGGUCAGGUAGAGAAUACCAAGGCGCUUGAGAGAACUCGGGUGAAGGAACUAGGCAAAAUGGUGCCGUAACUUCGGGAGAAGGCACGCUGAUAUGUAGGUGAAGCGACUUGCUCGUGGAGCUGAAAUCAGUCGAAGAUACCAGCUGGCUGCAACUGUUUAUUAAAAACACAGCACUGUGCAAACACGAAAGUGGACGUAUACGGUGUGACGCCUGCCCGGUGCCGGAAGGUUAAUUGAUGGGGUCAGCGCAAGCGAAGCUCUUGAUCGAAGCCCCGGUAAACGGCGGCCGUAACUAUAACGGUCCUAAGGUAGCGAAAUUCCUUGUCGGGUAAGUUCCGACCUGCACGAAUGGCGUAAUGAUGGCCAGGCUGUCUCCACCCGAGACUCAGUGAAAUUGAACUCGCUGUGAAGAUGCAGUGUACCCGCGGCAAGACGGAAAGACCCCGUGAACCUUUACUAUAGCUUGACACUGAACAUUGAGCCUUGAUGUGUAGGAUAGGUGGGAGGCUUUGAAGUGUGGACGCCAGUCUGCAUGGAGCCGACCUUGAAAUACCACCCUUUAAUGUUUGAUGUUCUAACGUUGACCCGUAAUCCGGGUUGCGGACAGUGUCUGGUGGGUAGUUUGACUGGGGCGGUCUCCUCCUAAAGAGUAACGGAGGAGCACGAAGGUUGGCUAAUCCUGGUCGGACAUCAGGAGGUUAGUGCAAUGGCAUAAGCCAGCUUGACUGCGAGCGUGACGGCGCGAGCAGGUGCGAAAGCAGGUCAUAGUGAUCCGGUGGUUCUGAAUGGAAGGGCCAUCGCUCAACGGAUAAAAGGUACUCCGGGGAUAACAGGCUGAUACCGCCCAAGAGUUCAUAUCGACGGCGGUGUUUGGCACCUCGAUGUCGGCUCAUCACAUCCUGGGGCUGAAGUAGGUCCCAAGGGUAUGGCUGUUCGCCAUUUAAAGUGGUACGCGAGCUGGGUUUAGAACGUCGUGAGACAGUUCGGUCCCUAUCUGCCGUGGGCGCUGGAGAACUGAGGGGGGCUGCUCCUAGUACGAGAGGACCGGAGUGGACGCAUCACUGGUGUUCGGGUUGUCAUGCCAAUGGCACUGCCCGGUAGCUAAAUGCGGAAGAGAUAAGUGCUGAAAGCAUCUAAGCACGAAACUUGCCCCGAGAUGAGUUCUCCCUGACCCUUUAAGGGUCCUGAAGGAACGUUGAAGACGACGACGUUGAUAGGCCGGGUGUGUAAGCGCAGCGAUGCGUUGAGCUAACCGGUACUAAUGAACCGUGAGGCUUAACCUUACAACGCCGAAG
Molecule: ribosomal RNA, 2925 nt
Filed under: Escherichia coli
Lineage: Bacteria; Pseudomonadati; Pseudomonadota; Gammaproteobacteria; Enterobacterales; Enterobacteriaceae
Description: 23S ribosomal RNA
Rfam family: Bacterial large subunit ribosomal RNA
Source: RNAcentral